CGAGGGGCGGGAACGCCCGUCCAGAAGCGGCUUCCUGGCCGCGGCGCCUUCUGGGAGUUGUAGUGCAGAAGCUGAGGCGCCUGGAAAACACAAAAUGUUCUCCCACAUCACACCCCGCCUGCAUUUAUCAAAAAAGAAAACACCUGAUGCUGGCUGUGUGCUGUUGGAACCAGAAACUUUUUAGCAUAUUAUAGUCGAGUGCCAGUGACUUCUUUGUUCUUUCAGAGGCAUUCUAAAAAGCGGCGUGUUUCACGAAUCUCAGAGACAACAACUUUCACAACUAUCAACUGUCACCUCCCAAACUGCCACAGAACCUUUUAAGUCCAACAUUCUGUCAUUUGUGGGAAAUACUCAUCUUCUAAAACACACUCUACUUAUUCUUUGAAUAGUAGUUGCAAAGCUAGUCAUCUCUCAGGAAGCACUUUCUAUUUCCAAAACUUUGGUUUCAUCAGUACCUGGAGCAAAGCUUCUGGCAGAAACACAAAUCCUCAUCAGGGGAGAGGCACAGGAUCAACUCACGGUUAUAAACUGGACUCCUGCUCUGACGGGUAGCAGCCAUCAACUUUGCCCGAUUCUCAUAAUUCUGAAGGGUCACCAAGGAGUUGCUACCAGCCACUGUACUUAAAGUGGUGUCACAGGAUUACAAAAUAGAAGAAAGUCUUUCUUCUCUGACUAAUAUGUUAGUGCUCUAGUAAGCAUCAAAGAUGAAAGACACACAAUACCAGAAUGAAAUUCACAACAGUAAAGAAUAGAACUGAAGAGAAUAAGGAAAAGAAAAAAGGGGCUGAGGGAGAAGGAAAAGAAAAGAGAGUUUAAAAAGGUAGAGAAGGUAAGACUCCAGGCAUUCUAAACACUACCAAAAUGUACAGAUCUAUUUUAUGUGCUCUGCAAUGACA
Long non-coding RNA from Homo sapiens (human), 896 nucleotides. RefSeq lists it as uncharacterized. The transcript has 3 exons. NCBI's taxonomy places the organism in Eukaryota, Metazoa, Chordata, Mammalia, Primates, Hominidae. The record is from RefSeq and is a predicted model, not a curated record.